GAUGAACGCUGGCGGCGUGCCUAAUACAUGCAAGUCGAGCGAACAGACGAGGAGCUUGCUCCUCUGACGUUAGCGGCGGACGGGUGAGUAACACGUGGAUAACCUACCUAUAAGACUGGGAUAACUUCGGGAAACCGGAGCUAAUACCGGAUAAUAUAUUGAACCGCAUGGUUCAAUAGUGAAAGACGGUUUUGCUGUCACUUAUAGAUGGAUCCGCGCCGCAUUAGCUAGUUGGUAAGGUAACGGCUUACCAAGGCAACGAUGCGUAGCCGACCUGAGAGGGUGGUCGGCCACACUGGAACGGGGCACCGGUGCAGGAGCCUACGGGAGGCACCAGGAGGGCAUGUUCCGCAAUGGUCGAAAGAUUGACGGACCAACGCCGCGUGAGAGAUGAAGGUCUUCGGAUCGUAAGACUCUGUUAUUAGGGAAGAACAAAUGUGUAAGUAACUAUGCACGGCUUGACGGUACCUAAUCAGAAAGCAACGGCUAACUACGUG
This 497-nucleotide ribosomal RNA is filed under the name uncultured bacterium. RNAcentral's name for it is "partial 16S ribosomal RNA". It matches the Rfam family "Bacterial small subunit ribosomal RNA", at positions 28 to 507 of the family's 1533-position model. The record is from RNAcentral.